GGGGGGUCGGCAACGGACGAGCGCCUUGCCAACCCGGUCAGGUCCGGAAGGAAGCAGCCGCAACGAGUUCCGCUCGGGUCGGUGUCCGGCCCCCCGCU
This 98-nucleotide signal recognition particle RNA is filed under the name Acidisoma sibiricum. Its description in RNAcentral is "signal recognition particle sRNA small type". It matches the Rfam family "Bacterial small signal recognition particle RNA". Rfam says of the family: The signal recognition particle (SRP) is a universally conserved ribonucleoprotein involved in the co-translational targeting of proteins to membranes. Archaeal SRP consists of a 7S RNA and homologues of the eukaryotic SRP19 and SRP54 proteins. RNAcentral also lists the same sequence under 2 other names. The record is from RNAcentral. Lineage: Bacteria; Pseudomonadati; Pseudomonadota; Alphaproteobacteria; Acetobacterales; Acidocellaceae.